GAAUGAACGCUGGCGGCGUGCUUAACACAUGCAAGUCGAGCGAGGCCUUGGGGGGCAACUCCCAGAGUCGAGCGGCGGACGGGUGAGUAACACGUGGGUAACCUGCCCGGAAGUGGGGAAUACCUCGGGGAAACUCGAGCUAAUACCGCAUGACAUCUUCGGGACGAAAGUCCUGACGAUCAAAGCGGGGUCGCAAGAUCUCGCGCUACCGGAUGGGGCCCG
RNAcentral lists this ribosomal RNA (222 nucleotides) under uncultured bacterium. Its description in RNAcentral is "partial 16S ribosomal RNA". It matches the Rfam family "Bacterial small subunit ribosomal RNA", at positions 27 to 233 of the family's 1533-position model. The record is from RNAcentral.